Molecule: ribosomal RNA, 472 nt
Filed under: uncultured bacterium
Lineage: Bacteria
Description: bacterial SSU rRNA
Rfam family: Bacterial small subunit ribosomal RNA
Source: RNAcentral
UAGUCCACGCCGUAAACGAUGGUCACUAGCUGUUCGGACUUCGGUCUGAGUGGCUAAGCGAAAGUGAUAAGUGACCCACCUGGGGAGUACGUUCGCAAGAAUGAAACUCAAAGGAAUUGACGGGGGCCCGCACAAGCGGUGGAGCAUGUGGUUUAAUUCGAUGAUACGCGAGGAACCUUACCAGGGCUUAAAUGCAGUUUGACAGGUCUAGAGAUAGAUUUUUCUCGGACAAAUUGCAAGGUGCUGCAUGGUUGUCGUCAGCUCGUGCCGUGAGGUGUCAGGUUAAGUCCUAUAACGAGCGCAACCCCUGUUCGUUAGUUGCCAGCGAGUAAUGUCGGGAACUCUAGCAAGACUGCCGGUGCAAACCGUGAGGGAAGGUGGGGAUGACGUCAAAGUCAUCACGGGGCCCUUACGUCCUAGGGCUACACACGUGCUACAAUGGGGUAGUACAGAGAGCAGCCACUGCGCGAGC